UACGGGGGGAGCAAGCGUUGUUCGGAUUUACUGGGCGUAAAGGGCUCGUAGGUGGCCAACUAAGUCAUACGUGAAAUCCCUCGGCUUAACCGGGGAACUGCGUCUGAUACUGGAUGGCUUGAGUUUGGGAGAGGGACGCGGAAUUCCAGGUGUAGCGGUGAAAUGCGUAGAUAUCUGGAGGAACACCGGUGGCGAAGGCGGCGUCCUGGACCAACACUGACACUGAGGAGCGAAAGCCAGGGGAGCAAACGGG
Molecule: ribosomal RNA, 253 nt
Filed under: uncultured bacterium
Lineage: Bacteria
Description: partial 16S ribosomal RNA
Rfam family: Bacterial small subunit ribosomal RNA
Source: RNAcentral